UAGGGAAUCUUCCGCAAUGGGCGAAAGCCUGACGGAGCAACGCCGCGUGAGUGAUGAAGGUCUUCGGAUCGUAAAAUUCUGUUAUUAGGGAAGAACAAAUGUGUAAGUAACUAUGCACGUCUUGACGGUACCUAAUCAGAAAGCCACGGCUAACUACGUGCCAGCAGCCGCGGUAAUACGUAGGUGGCAAGCGUUAUCCGGAAUUAUUGGGCGUAAAGCGCGCGUAGGCGGUUUUUUAAGUCUGAUGUGAAAGCCCACGGCUCAACCGUGGAGGGUCAUUGGAAACUGGAAAACUUGAGUGCAGAAGAGGAAAGUGGAAUUCCAUGUGUAGCGGUGAAAUGCGCAGAGAUAUGGAGGAACACCAGUGGCGAAGGCGACUUUCUGGUCUGUAACUGACGCUGAUGUGCGAAAGCGUGGGGAUCAAACAGG
RNAcentral lists this ribosomal RNA (429 nucleotides) under Actinomycetes bacterium. RNAcentral describes it as "Actinobacteria bacterium partial 16S ribosomal RNA". It matches the Rfam family "Bacterial small subunit ribosomal RNA", at positions 355 to 776 of the family's 1533-position model. The record is from RNAcentral. Lineage: Bacteria; Bacillati; Actinomycetota; Actinomycetes.